UCGAAGCAGAAAACUGUGUCUUACUGAUUAAGCUGUCGUUUUGGAAAGAAUUUGACAUUCGCGUUUUUAGUUACUCGUAAUAUUAGUUUUCACACGCGAAGCUGUUUCGAAGACGUGUAACAUGAUCGUUUGAAAACCUUCAAUUAUGUCUUUUGUUAGUUUCUAAAGGCAUAGUGUUUACAGCGAACAGUAACAACGGCGUUGUGUUAUAAGACCCAAACGAGGUCAUCGAACAAAGAUGAGACGUGUUGUUAUGCACGUUUACAUAGUGAAGACUGUAAUGCCGUAAAUACAGCAUAAUGCAUGACGUGAAGGAGUUUUAUAAUGUGUCAGUAAAGAGUAUUCUUGCAAACAAAUGCUACUUCGAAACAAAACUCUAGGCUUCAAUUGAAAAACAAGCUCUGUGUUAAACGCCUUAAAAACAAAUUGAGGAAAGUGUCUUUGUACCACUAGGCGCUUUUAGAUUAUCCAGCGUAAUGUCGUCACCUGUGGUAGAUGGGAAUGUCAUGAGUCCCCAGCCCUCACUUGGCCAGAGUAAAGGGCGAAAAGAACGGAGAAAAGAAUGGUGGGAUAAAGCAAAGGAAGUCCGCAGCAAGCUGCGUGACAGGAGCACACUUUCCAAGAAAGAGAAUUUUCAGCUUCAGCCUCAGGUAGUCUUACAAAAAGUAGACAGUUCUAGAGGCUUUCGAUCCUCAGUGUUAGCGGUUCCAGCACCAGAAUCAACCAAAAAGUUGACAGUACCAGCCAGCAAGGCUGGUGGUCAACAGGUCAAACAGCGCCCUCGACCCAAAGUUCAGCCUAAACAAGACUUGGUACCAAAGCAUGACAAAAAAAA
RNAcentral lists this unclassified non-coding RNA (835 nucleotides) under Pomacea canaliculata. RNAcentral describes it as "uncharacterized LOC112556440, transcript variant X2". The record is from RNAcentral. Lineage: Eukaryota; Metazoa; Mollusca; Gastropoda; Architaenioglossa; Ampullariidae.